GAUCCUGGCUCAGGAUGAACGCUAGCUACAGGCUUAACACAUGCAAGUCGAGGGGCAUCAGGAAGAAAGCUUGCUUUCUUUGCUGGCGACCGGCGCACGGGUGGGUAACACGUAUCCAACCUACCCUUUACUCGGGGAUAGCCUUUCGAAAGAAAGAUUAAUACCCGAUGGCAUAAUGAUUCUGCAUGGUUUCAUUAUUAAAGGAUUCCGGUAAAGGAUGGGGAUGCGUUCCAUUAGGUUGUUGGUGAGGUAACGG
Molecule: ribosomal RNA, 256 nt
Filed under: uncultured bacterium
Lineage: Bacteria
Description: partial 16S ribosomal RNA
Rfam family: Bacterial small subunit ribosomal RNA
Source: RNAcentral